This 24-nucleotide transfer RNA is filed under the name Perameles nasuta (long-nosed bandicoot). RNAcentral describes it as "partial tRNA-Pro". Lineage: Eukaryota; Metazoa; Chordata; Mammalia; Peramelemorphia; Peramelidae. The record is from RNAcentral.
UAAGGUGGUUAGCCUUCUUCUUGA